RNAcentral lists this unclassified non-coding RNA (200 nucleotides) under soil metagenome. RNAcentral describes it as "partial contains internal transcribed spacer 2 and large subunit ribosomal RNA". The record is from RNAcentral.
GGGUGCGACCCCUAGCUCCUCUUAAAUGCAUUAGCUGGAACCUUUAUGUGCUUCUUUGGUGUGAUAAUAUCUACUCCAUCUGAUUCACAGAGUCAAAGUUGCUUGCAGCUUUGACUACAAGGAUCUGCUUCCAAUGGUCCUUUCAGGACACCCCCUUGACAUCUGACCUCAAAUCAGGUAGGACUACCCGCUGAACUUAA